UAUUACAUGCAACAAAGAACCAUGACAUUCUAGAAUGUCAGGUACAACAGAGACAGCUGUUUGUCCCCCAGUAUCCUUCAGACAAAGCCAUAUAUGAUUGAAGGUUAUCAGUACUGUGCUUUUGGAGGAUUCAGAAGAAGUUAUAUCUGAUUGGGAGAUUGAAAAGGAUUGGCCUGAAGGAGAGGUGGUUUUUGAACUGCAUCUUAAAGGGUGAGGAAACUGAGGCUGAGAGGGUAGAGAACUUUGCCUGAGGUCACUCAGCAGGACGUUGCUUCGAAACUCAGGUCAUAGUGAGAAAGGCAGGGGCAUCCUUCCGUUCCUCACUUCUCCAGCCCUGUGCCUGCUCAGCUCACUGGAGAACGUGAAAUGAAGAUCAACUGGACCGAGGCCCAGGCAUAUCUGCUCACCAAGAAUAAGACAGAAAACAAUAAAAGCAAAUCAUGACCCACCCAUCACAGUAAAUGCCAGCACUGCUGAUGCCAAAACAAUGUUAUUUGUGGGCCCUCGGAAUUUGUGACCUGAAGGAAGAAGAGCAGGGCCGUGGGAAGUAUGUAACCAGUGUCAUGCCCCUGGUCCCAAGGAAGCAGUGGCUUGGUAAAGAGGGGACCCCCGUCAAUAACUCCCUGUAAUUACUGGGCACCCACUCUGAGCUCCUCAGUGGAAUCCUAAGGUUAAUAAGACUGUCUCUAGCCACUGGGGCUCCCAGCCUGGAGUGAGGCCUGAACACCCUGUCCUACCUGGUCCUACCUGGAUGCUGGCCUCAGUAAGCUCCUGGGCUCAUUGAAGAUGAACCUAGCAGUAGUAUUUACACCACUUGUUGUGUGCCCACUGUGGGCCCGGCGCCAUGCCGAGUGCUCUAUGGAUGUGAGGGAAACGGAGGCCCAGAAAGCAGAAAUGAUGUGUUAAGAUCACUCAUCAAGCUGAUGGUACAGAGGUGAGAACACUGAAGCAGUUUUUUCUAAAGAUAGCUGCCUGGCACAGUGGCUCACAUCUGUAGUCCCAGCAUUUGGGGAGGCCAAGGCAGGUGGAUCACUUGAGGCCAGGAAUUCAAGACCAGCAUGGCCAACA
Molecule: long non-coding RNA, 1068 nt
Filed under: Homo sapiens (human)
Lineage: Eukaryota; Metazoa; Chordata; Mammalia; Primates; Hominidae
Description: HSALNT0188812
Source: RNAcentral